ACAAACUUGGUCAUUUAGAGGAAGUAAAAGUCGUAACAAGGUCUCCGUAGGUGAACCUGCGGAGGGAUCAUUACCGAGCACCCGCCUCCUAGGCGGACCUCACACCCACUGUGAUCGAUACGACCGUUGCCUCGGCGGGCCGCCCUAGGCGCCCGCCAAAGGCCCUCGAGACCCUGAACAUCUGCGCCGUCUGAGCAACUUAGAAUCAUAAAAACUUUCAACAACGGAUCUCUUGGCUCUGGCAUCGAUGAAGAACGCAGC
Molecule: unclassified non-coding RNA, 261 nt
Filed under: uncultured fungus
Lineage: Eukaryota; Fungi
Description: partial contains small subunit ribosomal RNA, internal transcribed spacer 1, and 5.8S ribosomal RNA
Rfam family: Eukaryotic small subunit ribosomal RNA (bases 1-73)
Source: RNAcentral